AUCGCUUCUCGGCCUUUUGGCUAAGAUCAAGUGUAGUAAUGAGAGUUCUAGAAAAUACACUUAGAUUGUUAAGUCUAACUUUCUUAGAAUUAACACAAUGAAAUGCACACAGACAUUAAACUUAUC
RNAcentral lists this small nuclear RNA (126 nucleotides) under Fukomys damarensis (Damara mole-rat). RNAcentral's name for it is "U2 spliceosomal RNA". It matches the Rfam family "U2 spliceosomal RNA". From Rfam's summary of the family: U2 is a small nuclear RNA (snRNA) component of the spliceosome (involved in pre-mRNA splicing). Complementary binding between U2 snRNA (in an area lying towards the 5' end but 3' to hairpin I) and the branchpoint sequence (BPS) of the intron results the bulging out of an unpaired adenosine, on the BPS, which initiates a nucleophilic attack at the intronic 5' splice site, thus starting the first of two transesterification reactions that mediate splicing. The record is from Rfam by way of RNAcentral. Lineage: Eukaryota; Metazoa; Chordata; Mammalia; Rodentia; Bathyergidae.